GAAAGGGGCAAGCGUUGUUCGGAUUUACUGGGAGUAAAGGGCACGCAGGCGGUCUUGCCAGUCAGGGGUGAAAGCCCGGGGCUCAACCCCGGAACUGCCUCUGAUACUGCAAGACUAGAGACUAGGAGAGGGUGGUGGAAUUCCAGUGUAGAGGUGAAAUUCGUAGAUAUUGGGAGGAACACCAGAGGCGAAGGCGGCCACCUGGACUAGAUCUGACGCUCAGGUGCGAAAGCGUGGGGAGCAAACAGGAUUAGAUACCCUGGUAGUCCACGCCGUAAACGAUGAGUGCUAGUUGUCGGGGACUUCGGUUUCGGUGACGCACGUAACGCAUUAAGC
This 336-nucleotide ribosomal RNA is filed under the name unidentified marine eubacterium. Its description in RNAcentral is "bacterial SSU rRNA". It matches the Rfam family "Bacterial small subunit ribosomal RNA", at positions 527 to 865 of the family's 1533-position model. The record is from RNAcentral.